This 360-nucleotide ribosomal RNA is filed under the name uncultured bacterium. RNAcentral's name for it is "partial 16S ribosomal RNA". It matches the Rfam family "Bacterial small subunit ribosomal RNA", at positions 338 to 690 of the family's 1533-position model. The record is from RNAcentral.
CCUACGGGAGGCAGCAGUAGGGAAUCUUCCACAAUGGGCGAAAGCCUGAUGGAGCAACGCCGCGUGGGUGAAGAAGGUCUUCGGAUCGUAAAACCCUGUUGUUAGAGAAGAAAGUGCGUGAGAGUAACUGCUCACGUUUCGACGGUAUCUCACCAGAAAGCCACGGCUCACUACGUGCCAGCAGCCGCGGUAAUACGUAGGUGGCAAGCGUUCGCCGGUUUUAUUGGGCGUAAAGGGAACGCAGGGGGGCGUUUAAGUCUGGUGUGAAAGCCAUCGGCUUAACCGCAGUAGUGCAUUGGAAACUGGGAGACUUGAGUGGAGAAGAGGUGAGUGGAACUCCAUGUGUAGCGGUGAAAUGCG